Molecule: long non-coding RNA, 233 nt
Filed under: Elaeis guineensis (African oil palm)
Lineage: Eukaryota; Viridiplantae; Streptophyta; Magnoliopsida; Arecales; Arecaceae
Description: long non-coding RNA (EGUI_LNC067563)
Source: RNAcentral
AAUCAAAUUCUUACCUGUAUUGUAGUAAAAUUAAAAAUCAAGUUUUCAAAAUCUAAGUUCAACCUUUGCAUAGAUCUGAAACUGCAGACCCUCUACUUCGUAUGUACGCCAGACAAUGCAAGAAAGUAGGAUGUCCUCUAAUCAAAGCACCUUCACAAGGCAACCAAAUGAGGGAGGAGAGUUGCAAGUGUGAUGCCUUACACCAGUAAGGGGGGAUGCCCAAGGAGGGCCCA